RNAcentral lists this ribosomal RNA (563 nucleotides) under uncultured bacterium. RNAcentral's name for it is "partial 16S ribosomal RNA". It matches the Rfam family "Bacterial small subunit ribosomal RNA", at positions 355 to 911 of the family's 1533-position model. The record is from RNAcentral.
UGGGGAAUUUUGGACAAUGGGGGAAACCCUGAUCCAGCCAUCCCGCGUGUGCGAUGAAGGCCUUCGGGUUGUAAAGCACUUUUGGCAGGAAAGAAACGUCGUGGGUUAAUACCCCGCGAAACUGACGGUACCUGCAGAAUAAGCACCGGCUAACUACGUGCCAGCAGCCGCGGUAAUACGUAGGGUGCAAGCGUUAAUCGGAAUUACUGGGCGUAAAGCGUGCGCAGGCGGUUCGGAAAGAAAGAUGUGAAAUCCCAGAGCUUAACUUUGGAACUGCAUUUUUAACUACCGGGCUAGAGUGUGUCAGAGGGAGGUGGAAUUCCGCGUGUAGCAGUGAAAUGCGUAGAUAUGCGGAGGAACACCGAUGGCGAAGGCAGCCUCCUGGGAUAACACUGACGCUCAUGCACGAAAGCGUGGGGAGCAAACAGGAUUAGAUACCCUGGUAGUCCACGCCCUAAACGAUGUCAACUAGCUGUUGGGGUCUUCGGACCUUGGUAGCGCAGCUAACGCGUGAAGUUGACCGCCUGGGGAGUACGGUCGCAAGAUUAAAACUUAAAGGAAUU